GCGUCAGGUGGCGAACGAAGUGUCGAAAGCGGUGUUCGGAUCAUCGCGCGGCGCGGGGGCCGGGAUCAUCGGCGGGCUGAUGCGC
RNAcentral lists this transfer RNA (85 nucleotides) under Sphingomonas psychrolutea. RNAcentral describes it as "tRNA-Pro". Lineage: Bacteria; Pseudomonadati; Pseudomonadota; Alphaproteobacteria; Sphingomonadales; Sphingomonadaceae. The record is from RNAcentral.